UAGGGAAUCUUCGGCAAUGGACGAAAGUCUGACCGAGCAACGCCGCGUGAGUGAAGAAGGUUUUCGGAUCGUAAAACUCUGUUGUUAGAGAAGAACAAGGACGUUAGUAACUGAACGUCCCCUGACGGUAUCUAACCAGAAAGCCACGGCUAACUACGUGCCAGCAGCCGCGGUAAUACGUAGGUGGCAAGCGUUGUCCGUAUUUAUUGGGCGUAAAGCGAGCGCAGGCGGUUUCUUAAGUCUGAUGUGAAAGCCCCCGGCUCAACCGGGGAGGGUCAUUGGAAACUGGGAGACUUGAGUGCAGAAGAGGAGAGUGGAAUUCCAUGUGUAGCGGUGAAAUGCGUAGAUAUAUGGAGGAACACCAGUGGCGAAGGCGGCUCUCUGGUCUGUAACUGACGCUGAGGCUCGAAAGCGUGGGGAGCAAACAGG
This 429-nucleotide ribosomal RNA is filed under the name Gemmatimonadota bacterium. RNAcentral describes it as "Gemmatimonadetes bacterium partial 16S ribosomal RNA". It matches the Rfam family "Bacterial small subunit ribosomal RNA", at positions 355 to 776 of the family's 1533-position model. The record is from RNAcentral. Lineage: Bacteria; Pseudomonadati; Gemmatimonadota.